RNAcentral lists this long non-coding RNA (703 nucleotides) under Oreochromis niloticus (Nile tilapia). RNAcentral describes it as "lncRNA (ENSONIG00000030532.1)". The record is from RNAcentral. Lineage: Eukaryota; Metazoa; Chordata; Actinopteri; Cichliformes; Cichlidae.
AGUUUAUUGUGUUUAUUUCCUGUUUUAGGUCGAUCCAGUCUGAGAGUCACAGUCCGGGCUCCUCCACAAAUCAGGGAGUCAACCAGGAUGAAACUCAUGAAUACAACUCUCCUUAUUCUGGUACUGCUGACAUCUAUGAAUCAGUCACACAAGUGACAAACAGAAAUGGUACAGUAUAUGUGCUGGAAAGCACAGAGCAGUUAGAGAUAAAACCUAUUUUGAUUUAAUGAAACUUAUUCCAUGCGACAUGUUUUUACAGUCUUGUAAAUAAAAUUAUGAACAUUUCAGGAGCAGAUGAAUAUGAGAAUGUCCCUUCCUCUCAGAGUGAUCAGAAAGUUUUUAAGUAUUAAUUUCUUUUUGAUUUCAUUUGAUCAUUUUAACAGGGGAGUAUGAUGAACCAGAGGGGAGUGCUUUUUACAUCAAUGUCCAGAUGUGAGCUUCAGAGUGUGUCUGCACCUUCUAAACAAAGCCUGUAAGGAUACAGGAAGUCACAGGUGGGACAGGCACGAGGGGCAGCCAGUGACCCAACACACAUCCUUAAAGCUGAUAUCCACCAGCUUCUCAUGUAUGCACCCAGCAUUUCCUCAGUCACCUGAGCUCAGAGCUGGAUUCUUCAUUCCCUCCAACAUAAAUAUAAACCCCUUUUUCGUCACCACAGAACAUCUACAGCUGGGACUCUGUGAAGUAGUGAUACGUAAAAAAU